GAGUUUGAUCGUGGCUCAGAACGAACGCUGGCGGCAUGCCUAACACAUGCAAGUCGAACGAUGGCUUCGGCCAUAGUGGCGCACGGGUGAGUAACGCGUGGGAACCUGCCUUUUGGUUUGGGAUAACUCCGGGAAACUGGAGCUAAUACCGGAUGAGCCCGAGCAAUCGGGGAAAGAUUUAUCGCCAAAAGAGGGGCCCGCGUCCGAUUAGGUAGUUGGUGGGGUAACGGCCUACCAAGCCUACGAUCGGUAGCUGGUCUGAGAGGAUGAUCAGCCACACUGGGACUGAGACACGGCCCAGACUCCUACGGGAGGCAGCAGUGGGGAAUAUUGGACAAUGGGCGCAAGCCUGAUCCAGCAAUGCCGCGUGGAUGAUGAAGGCCUUAGGGUUGUAAAGUCCUUUCGGCGGGACGAUGAUGACGGUACCCGCAGAAGAAGCCCCGGCUAACUUCGUGCCAGCAGCCGCCGUAAG
RNAcentral lists this ribosomal RNA (472 nucleotides) under uncultured Alphaproteobacteria bacterium. RNAcentral describes it as "bacterial SSU rRNA". It matches the Rfam family "Bacterial small subunit ribosomal RNA", at positions 9 to 524 of the family's 1533-position model. The record is from RNAcentral. Lineage: Bacteria; Pseudomonadati; Pseudomonadota; Alphaproteobacteria.